RNAcentral lists this ribosomal RNA (235 nucleotides) under uncultured Candidatus Saccharibacteria bacterium. RNAcentral's name for it is "partial 16S ribosomal RNA". It matches the Rfam family "Bacterial small subunit ribosomal RNA", at positions 584 to 818 of the family's 1533-position model. The record is from RNAcentral. Lineage: Bacteria; Candidatus Saccharimonadota.
UAAGUGAAUAGUGAAAUCUGGUGGCUCAACCAUACAGGCUAUUAUUCAAACUGGCAAACUCGAGAGUGGUAGAGGUCACUGGAAUUUCUUGUGUAGGAGUGAAAUCCGCGGAUAUAAGAAGGAACACCGAUGGCGUAGGCAGAUGACUGGACCACUUCUGACGCUAAGGCACGAAAGCGUGGGAGCGAACCGGAUUAGAUACCCGGGUAGUCCACGCCGUAAACGAUGGAUACUG